CUGUAAUUUAUCAUAUUAAUUUGGGCUACCAGUAGCAUCGUUUAGAGAUUGUGCAAAUUGAGUUCACAAAUAUCACAGCUUUGGAAGAUCAAGAAGUGGUUUUGAACAUAGAGAUUCCAGGGAAAAAAAAUUCUGUGGGCUUUUUGCCAGAAUUACAACAUUUCUACAAAGGAUAAAAGAAUAAAGUCACCCAGCAAGAGGAACCCUGGUUUCUAGAGCUUGCCUUAUGGAGUGGGGGGUUAGAAUCAGGAACUGCGCUGACCACAGAGGAUCGGGCAACAUCGACUGUGUGCUGUUUGCUAACUGAAAGUUCAGAGGGAGACAGUUUGGCCCCUCCUUGGACCUCUGGCUGAGAGAAGGGAUGUACACGGAGUGGCACCAACACACCCAGGCAGACGCUCACAUUAUGAAACAUAAAUGCAGAGUGAACAAAGAGUGUUGCAAAUCACUCAGCUUGGCUAGCUGCUGCCAAAGCAAUUCAGUACUCCUCAUGAAGCCUGCUCUGCAUUCCAGAAAACAAAAAAAAUAGAGGCCUGAUAAGAUAACCAGGUAAUUAAUGAAGCAAUUUCCCCUUCCUGCUCACAUGCCUGUAUUUAUUUUUUAAUAUAAAUUAUCAUCAUCUUAAGCAAUAAGUACACUAUCUUCCUGUAACCUUUAAGAACUUAGCCAAAUGGAGCAGAA
Homo sapiens (human) is the source of this 681-nucleotide long non-coding RNA. RefSeq lists it as uncharacterized. The record is from RefSeq and is a predicted model, not a curated record. The transcript has 3 exons. Lineage: Eukaryota; Metazoa; Chordata; Mammalia; Primates; Hominidae.